AACGAACGCUGGCGGCAUGCCUAACACAUGCAAGUCGAACGAGACCUUCGGGUCUAGUGGCGCACGGGUGCGUAACGCGUGGGAACCUGCCUUUAGGUUCGGAAUAACUCAGAGAAAUUUGAGCUAAUACCGGAUGAUGUCUUCGGACCAAAGAUUUAUCGCCUUUAGAUGGGCCCGCGUUGGAUUAGCUAGUUGGUGGGGUAAAGGCCUACCAAGGCGACGAUCCAUAGCUGGUCUGAGAGGAUGAUCAGCCACACUGGGACUGAGACACGGCCCAGACUCCUACGGGAGGCAGCAGUGGGGAAUAUUGGACAAUGGGCGAAAGCCUGAUCCAGCAAUGUCGCGUGAGUGAUGAAGGCCUUAGGGUUGUAAAGCUCUUUUACCCGAGAUGAUAAUGACAGUAUCGUGAGAAUAAGCGCCGGCUAACUCCGUG
This 433-nucleotide ribosomal RNA is filed under the name uncultured bacterium. Its description in RNAcentral is "partial 16S ribosomal RNA". It matches the Rfam family "Bacterial small subunit ribosomal RNA", at positions 29 to 507 of the family's 1533-position model. The record is from RNAcentral.